GGAGAGGUCGCAUAGUGGCUUAGUGCGCACGCUUGGAAAGCGUGUAUGGGGUUAUACCUCAUCGAGGGUUCGAAUCCCUCUCUCUCCG
This 88-nucleotide transfer RNA is filed under the name Anaerolineae bacterium. RNAcentral's name for it is "tRNA-Ser". It matches the Rfam family "tRNA". From Rfam's summary of the family: Transfer RNA (tRNA) molecules are approximately 80 nucleotides in length. Their secondary structure includes four short double-helical elements and three loops (D, anti-codon, and T loops). RNAcentral also lists the same sequence under 1 other name. The record is from RNAcentral. Lineage: Bacteria; Bacillati; Chloroflexota; Anaerolineae.